Molecule: ribosomal RNA, 253 nt
Filed under: uncultured bacterium
Lineage: Bacteria
Description: partial 16S ribosomal RNA
Rfam family: Bacterial small subunit ribosomal RNA
Source: RNAcentral
UACGUAGGUGGCAAGCGUUGUCCGGAUUUACUGGGCGUAAAGAGCGCGCAGGCGGUCGUUUAAGUUGCGUGUGAAAGCCCCCGGCUCAACUGGGGAGGGUCACGCGAUACUGAUCGACUCGAAGGCAGGAGAGGGUAGUGGAAUUCCCGGUGUAGUGGUGAAAUGCGUAGAUAUCGGGAGGAACACCAGUGGCGAAGGCGACUACCUGGCCUGUUCUUGACGCUGAGGCGCGAAAGCUAGGGGAGCAAACGGG